Molecule: ribosomal RNA, 338 nt
Filed under: uncultured Bacteroidales bacterium
Lineage: Bacteria; Pseudomonadati; Bacteroidota; Bacteroidia; Bacteroidales
Description: bacterial SSU rRNA
Rfam family: Bacterial small subunit ribosomal RNA
Source: RNAcentral
AGAGUUUCAUCCUGGCUCAGGAUGAACGCUAGCUACAGGCUUAACACAUGCAAGUCGAGGGGCAGCAUGAAUCAAGCUUGCUUGAUUUGAUGGCGACCGGCGCACGGGUGCGUAACACGUAUCCAAUCUACCCAUGGCUCAGGGAUAGCCUUUCGAAAGAAAGAUUAAUACCUGAUGGUUUCAUGAGCCCGCAUGGACUUAUGAAUAAAGAUUUAUCGGCGAUGGAUGAGGAUGCGUCCGAUUAGAUAGUAGGCGGGGUAACGGCCCACCUAGUCGACGAUCGGUAGGGGCUCUGAGAGGAGGAUCCCCCACAUUGGAACUGAGCCAUGAUCAAACUC